GACGAACGCUGGCGGCGUGCCUAAUACAUGCAAGUCGAACGCUUCUUUCCUCCCGAGUGCUUGCACUCAAUUGGAAAGAGGAGUGGCGGACGGGUGAGUAACACGUGGGUAACCUACCCAUCAGAGGGGGAUAACACUUGGAAACAGGUGCUAAUACCGCAUAACAGUUUAUGCCGCAUGGCAUAAGAGUGAAAGGCGCUUUCGGGUGUCGCUGAUGGAUGGACCCGCGGUGCAUUAGCUAGUUGGUGAGGUAACGGCUCACCAAGGCCACGAUGCAUAGCCGACCUGGGAGGGUGAUCGGCCACACUGGGACUGAGACACGGCCCAGACUCCUACGGGAGGCAGCAGUAGGGAAUCUUCGGCAAUGGACGAAAGUCUGACCGAGCAACGCCGCGUGAGUGAAGAAGGUUUUCGGAUCGUAAAACUCUGUUGUUAGGGAAGAACAAGGACGUUAGUAACUGAACGUCCCCUGACGGUAUCUAACCAGAAAGCCACGGCUAACUACGUG
RNAcentral lists this ribosomal RNA (508 nucleotides) under uncultured bacterium. Its description in RNAcentral is "partial 16S ribosomal RNA". It matches the Rfam family "Bacterial small subunit ribosomal RNA", at positions 28 to 507 of the family's 1533-position model. The record is from RNAcentral.